AUUGAACGCUGGCGGCAGGCUUAACACAUGCAAGUCGAACGAGUGGCGGACGGGUGAGUCACGCUUGGGAAUCUGGCAUAUGGAGGGGGUUAACUACGGGAAACUGUCGCUAAUACCGCGUACCAUAGGCUUAGAACAAGUGGGAUUAGGUAUUGGGUGGGGUAAUGGCGUACCAAGUCGACGAUCUCCAGCUGGUCUGAGAGGGUGACCGGCCAAACUGGAACUGAGACACGGUCCGGACUCCUACGGGAGGCAGCAGUGGGGAAGAUUGCGCAAUGGGGGAAAGCUGACGGAGCCAUGCCGCGUGAGUGAUGAAGGCCUUCGGGUUGUAAAAUGCUUUCGGUGGCGAAGCGUUACUCACAGAAGAAGCACCGGCUAACUCCGUGCCAGCAGCCGCGGUAAUAC
RNAcentral lists this ribosomal RNA (405 nucleotides) under uncultured bacterium. RNAcentral's name for it is "partial 16S ribosomal RNA". It matches the Rfam family "Bacterial small subunit ribosomal RNA", at positions 30 to 526 of the family's 1533-position model. The record is from RNAcentral.